AAAAGAAACUAACAAGGAUUCCCCUAGUAACGGCGAGUGAAGCGGGAAGAGCUCAAGCUUAAAAUCUCCGGUCAGGUUCUGGUCGGCGAAUUGUAGUCUAUAGACGCGUUAUCAGUGUGGCCGGUCGGGGUAAGUUCCUUGGAAGAGGACAGCAAUGAGGGUGAUACUCCCGUUUGUACCUGAUUGUGUUGCGCGUACGAUGCGUGUUCUUUGAGUCGCGUUGUUUGGGAAUGCAGCGCAAAGUAGGUGGUAAAUUCCAUCUAAAGCUAAAUAUUGGUGCGAGACCGAUAGCGAACAAGUACCGUGAGGGAAAGAUGAAAAGAACUUUGAAAAGAGAGUUAAAGAGUACCUGAAACUGCUGAAAGGGAACCGGGUCGUUGCCAGUGUCUAUAAUCCUUGGCAUAUUUCAUUGCCGUGUCUGUUUGUUCCGCGUGUUUGUAGCAGUUUGUUCUGUGCAUUGCGUGGUUGUGAGCGGUCGUGGCGGUGCCCUGUGCUUUGGUGGGACGUCAGAGUCAGUUCGUAUGCUGCGGGAAAUGGUCGUGCAGGAGGUAGGUCGGGGGCUUGCUCUCGGCUGUUAUAUCUGUGCGUGCCAGUAGUCGUGGUUGGGACUGAGGUGCCUACAACGUGCUUUUGAGUCUUUGGGUCGCUCUGUGCGCGCGUGUGCGGGAUAGCUUGCUAUGCCGUGUGCGUUUGUGUGUGGAUGGCGUGCUCUCUGUAACUUGUUGCCGUUCGGGACUUUGACGAAAUGGCGCGAUCCGACCCG
Molecule: ribosomal RNA, 763 nt
Filed under: Phytopythium helicoides
Lineage: Eukaryota; Oomycota; Peronosporomycetes; Pythiales; Pythiaceae
Description: partial large subunit ribosomal RNA
Rfam family: Eukaryotic large subunit ribosomal RNA
Source: RNAcentral